UGGGGAAUAUUGGACAAUGGGCGGAAGCCUGAUCCAGCAAUGCCGCGUGUGUGAAGAAGGCCUGAGGGUUGUAAAGCACUUUUAGUGGGGAUGAAAAGCACAUUGCUAAUACCAGUGUGUCUUGACCUAACCCAAAGAAAAAGCACCGGCUAACUCUGUGCCAGCAGCCGCGGUAAUACAGAGGGGGCAAGCGUUGUUCGGAAUUACUGGGCGUAAAGGGCGCGUAGGCGGCCUUCUAAGUCGAACGUGAAAUCCCUGGGCUCAACCCAGGAACUGCGUCCGAGACUGGGAGGCUAGAAUCCGGGAGAGGGAUGUGGAAUUCCAGGUGUAGCGGUGAAAUGCGUAGAUAUCUGGAGGAACAUCGGUGGCGAAGGCGGCAUCCUGGACCGGUAUUGACGCUGAGGCGCGAAAGCCAGGGGAGCAAA
Molecule: ribosomal RNA, 425 nt
Filed under: uncultured bacterium
Lineage: Bacteria
Description: bacterial SSU rRNA
Rfam family: Bacterial small subunit ribosomal RNA
Source: RNAcentral